UGUCCGGAUUUACUGGGUGUAAAGGGUGCGUAGGCGGCUUUGCAAGUCAGAUGUGAAAUCUAUGGGCUCAACCCAUAAACUGCAUUUGAAACUGUAGAGCUUGAGUGAAGUAGAGGCAGGCGGAAUUCCCCGUGUAGCGGUGAAAUGCGUAGAGAUGGGGAGGAACACCAGUGGCGAAGGCGGCCUGCUGGGCUUUAACUGACGCUGAGGCACGAAAGCGUGGGUAGCAACCAGGAUUAGAUACCCUGGUAGUCCACGCUGUAAACGAUGAUUACUAGGUGU
Molecule: ribosomal RNA, 282 nt
Filed under: uncultured bacterium
Lineage: Bacteria
Description: partial 16S ribosomal RNA
Rfam family: Bacterial small subunit ribosomal RNA
Source: RNAcentral